UAAGGAAUAUUGGUCAAUGGGCGGAAGCCUGAACCAGCCAUGUCGCGUGCAGGAAGACGGCCCUACGGGUUGUAAACUGCUUUUAUACUGGAAUAAACCUUUCUACGAGUAGAGAGCUGAAUGUACAGUAAGAAUAAGGACCGGCUAACUACGUGCCAGCAGCCGCGGUAAUACGUAGGGUCCAAGCGUUAUCCGGAAUCACUGGGCGUAAAGCGUGCGUAGGCGGCUUGUUAAGUGAGAUGUUAAAACGUGGGGCUCAACCCUGUCGGUGCAUCUCAUACUGGCAGGCUAGAGGACGGCAGAGGCAAGUGGAAUUGGUAGUGUAGCAGUGAAAUGCGUAGAUAUUACCAGGAACACCAAUGGCGAAGGCAGCUUGCUGGGCCGACCCUGACGCUGAGGUACGAAAGCGUGGGGAGCGAACAG
Molecule: ribosomal RNA, 423 nt
Filed under: uncultured bacterium
Lineage: Bacteria
Description: bacterial SSU rRNA
Rfam family: Bacterial small subunit ribosomal RNA
Source: RNAcentral